GAAAUGCUGAAUACAACAGGUGUAGUAGACCUUACAGUGAAAUGCUGAAUACAACAGGUGUAGUAGACCUUACAGUGAAAUGCUGAAUACAACAGGUGUAGUAGACCUUACAGUGAAAUGCCGAAUACAACAGGUGUAGUAGACCUCACAGUGAAAUGCUGAAUACAACAGGUGUAGUAGACCUUACAGUGAAAUGCUGAAUAUACAGUAGAGAGGCUAUAUACAGUAGAGAGGCUAUAUACAGUAGAGAGGCUACAUACAGUAGAGAGGCUAUAUACAGGAGAGGCUAUAUACAGUAGAGGGGCUAUAUACAGUAGAGGCUAUAUACAGUAGAGAGGCUAUAUACAGUAGAGAGGCUAUAUACAGUAGAGAGGCUAUAUACAGUAGAGAGGCUAUAUACAGUAGAGAGACUAUAUACAGUAGAGGCUAUAUACAGUAGUGAGUCUAUAUACAGUAGAGAGGCUAUAUACAGUAGAGGCUAUGUACAGUAGAGGGGCUAUAUACAGUAGAGGCUAUAUACAGUAGAGAGGCUAUAUACAGUAGUGAGUCUAUAUACAGUAGAGAGGCUAUAUACAGUAGAGAGGCUAUAUACAGUGGAGAGGCUAUAUACAGUAGUGAGGCUAUAUACAGUAGAGAGUCUAUAUACAGUAGAGAGGCUAUAUACAGUAGAGAGGCUAUAUACAGUAGAGAGGCUAUAUACAGUAGAGGGGCUAUAUACAGUAGAGGCUAUAUACAGUAGUGAGGCUCUAUACAGUAGAGAGUCUAUAUACAGUAGAGAGGCUAUAUACAGUAGAGAGGCUAUAUACAGUAGAGAGGCUAUAUACAGUAGAGAGGCUAUAUACAGUAGAGAGGCUAUAUACAGUAGGUGUGUAAUGUUUACUGUCUGUUUAUUUAACUUGCUUUGGGAAUGUAAACAUGUGUCCCACGCCAAUAAAGGCCUUUAGAAUUACAUGGCUGCAGCAUUGUCGGCUGUCCGUUCAACUGAGUGUUUCUGGCGCCACCUGCCGGCUGUUUGAGAGAAGACACGCUGGGAUCCGACAUUGCCGCUUGUCUAACUGUCAUUGGAUGGGAUUUUGAAUGAUUAAGCCUGACUGGGUACAUCCACUGUCAAUCAAAUGAAACCGGAAGAAAUAAAGGUUCCAUAUGAAAUCAAUGUGUACGGACAGCGGUGUGUCCUUACCGAGCCGUUACGCCAUGCCAACUUCCCCGGUAAAGACGCGGAUCCCGCUCACGAGCUUCGGUCAUCUGAUCACCGAGGUGAAGAGACAGUUGUUUGGUAUGGAGGCUCCAGCCACUGUUAACCUGACUGGAUGGAGGAGACAUUUCAACAGCUACACACUACAGGGGAGACGCAACUUUGUCCUGGCUACCUAUGGUGUCCUAGCGUUGUCGGCAGCAGCCUAUAUGAUACGCCAUCGGAGUAAAGAGGACCCAAGAGUAGCCAGCCCCACUGCCUGACUGAAAAGACUGACACCCUCAAUAUCAAUGUCCCAACGCUUUAUUGGCCUGAUAUUGACAUUGAUUUCCAAUACUACCGAAUCAGAGAUUCAUAACAGCAGCACUCCCCCUUUCUUCUGCUCCCUCCCUCCCUCUCUCUUCCCCUCUCUCUAUCCCACCCCUCUCUUCCUCUCUCUCUCUACUGUGUCUCUCUCUACUGUGUGUCUCUCUCUCUCUCUCUACUGUCUCUCUCUCUCUCUUCCUCUCUCUCUCUACUCUACUCUCUCUCUCUCUCUCUUCUCUCUCUCUCUACUGUGUGUCUCUCUCUACUGUGUGUCUCUCUCUACUGUGUGUCUCUCUCUCUCUCUACUGUGUGUCUCUCUCUACUGUGUGUCUCUCUCUACUGUGUGUCUCUCUCUACUGUGUGUCUCUCUCUCUCUCUACUGUGUGUCUCUCUCUACUGUGUGUCUCUCUCUACUGUCUCUCUCUCUCUCUCUUCCUCUCUCUCUCUACUGUCUCUCUCUCUCUCUCUUCCUCUCUCUCUCUACUGUGUGUCUCUCUCUACUGUGUGUCUCUCUCUCUCUACUGUGUGUCUCUCUCUACUGUGUGUCUCUCUCUACUGUGUGUCUCUCUCUACUGUCUCUCUCUCUCUCUCUUCCUCUCUCUCUCUACUGUGUCUCUCUCUACUGUCUCUCUCUCUCUCUCUACUGUCUCUCUCUCUCUACUGUGUGUCUCUCUCUACUGUGUGUCUCUCUCUACUGUCUCUCUCUCUCUCUUCCUCUCUCUCUCUACUGUGUCUCUCUCUACUGUGUGUCUCUCUCUACUGUCUCUCUCUCUCUCUCUUCCUCUCUCUCUCUACUGUGUCUCUCUCUCUCUCUUCUCUCUCUCUCU
Oncorhynchus tshawytscha (Chinook salmon) is the source of this 2328-nucleotide long non-coding RNA. Lineage: Eukaryota; Metazoa; Chordata; Actinopteri; Salmoniformes; Salmonidae. The record is from Ensembl.